RNAcentral lists this unclassified non-coding RNA (2213 nucleotides) under Polistes fuscatus (common paper wasp). Its description in RNAcentral is "carbohydrate sulfotransferase 11, transcript variant X3". Lineage: Eukaryota; Metazoa; Arthropoda; Insecta; Hymenoptera; Vespidae. The record is from RNAcentral.
GUACCAGCACCAGCAGUACAGCAGCAGCAGAAGCAUCAGCAGCACCACCAUCAUCAGGAGCAACGACGCUGGACUUUGGGACGCCUGGCGUCUCUCUCUCUCUUUCCAUCUCUUUCUAUCUCCCUCCCUCUCUCUCUUUCUCCCCGUAUCUAUCUAUUUAUUCAUCUCUCUCUAUCUCUUUCUCUCUCUCUCUCUCUCUUUUUCACUAGCUCGUUUGCUCGCUCAUAUUGUUAGACUAGCAGACGACCGUUCCAACGCUCUCUUCUCAGUGAUCUAUGUGAUGCCGCCGUGGUCGUUCGGUGAUCCGUGCGCACAUUAACUUCUUUCCGUAAAACGUGCGCGAGAAUCACGUGCGUCAACUGAAAAGACAAACGGGGAAAAAAGAAAAAGGAAAUUCCGGAGAAACGGAAAGAGAAAAGGUGUGACACUUUGCUCCAAUCGACGAAGAGGAAGAGACGACCACGAAGACAAUAAAAGAGAUCCCCCUCGGCUCGACGUUUACAGAUAAGUGCGAUAAAUGUUCUAACGAAGCCCGACGUCGCAGGAUUUUCGGCUUGUAUGUCCGAAAAAGUCCGAUAUGAAUACAGAAGGAAGAACGUUCUCAGGGAGAUGACACCACGACGUCACGUAUUCGCGGGAAUUCGUCGAGCACUUUUGGCUGCCGCGAUCGUGGGUUUGAUCAUCUUGGCCCUCUCCAAUCAAGAUGAUCAUAACAACGUGCAACAGGGAACACUUUUGGACGACGAUGUCAACCUAACGCCAGAAGAAAGAAUGAUCGAACUGGCUACAGCUGCGGAAACAGAAGCUCGUUUGAUAGAACGAAGAAAAUUUUUGGCUGAGAAGUGUGCCGAGGAAGGACUCGAUCGUCCUGGAAACGAUUCCCUUCACAAACCCAACGCCUGGGAAUUCCUUGUAAAUAGAGAAUAUCAUCUGAUAUGGUGCAACGUAUUCAAAGCUGCAUCCACCUCAUGGAUGUAUAAUUUCAAUCUACUUGCAGGAUACAGUCCGCAAUUUUUAAAAGCCUCUAAAGCUGUACCAGUGUCUCUGGCACGGCAAAAAUAUCCUAGACACACGGCCGAAGAAUUAGCGAAAUUUUUAAAUGACAGUAUCAGCUUCCUAAUCGUCAGACAUCCUUUCGAAAGAUUGUUGAGUGCCUAUAGAGACAAAUUGGAGCAUAGUUUGCCCCAUACGUUUCACAGCAAUCUCGGUGCCCACAUAGUUUGGCAUUACAGAUCAAAGGAUUCGAAAAUGACUGGUAAACAUGGACCGAGAUAUCCAUUCUUUGAAGAAUUUGUUAGAUGGCUUUUGUGCCAGUGGAAAGCUGGAAACGAAUUGGACAUGCACUGGACACCGAUAGUCAACUUUUGCACACCCUGCCAAGUGCGAUUCGAUAUAAUCGCAAAAUUCGAAACACUUCGAGAAGAUCAGGACUUCCUUAUAAAGCAAGCACACGUUGGACAUAUCAUUAAACCGGAAUGGAAGAAUCCAACGAGAGGUGUUCAAACGAAAGAUGUUGUCAAAAAUUAUUUCACUCAAUUAUCCAAAACACAAAUCAAUGAUCUUUAUGAAAUGUUUAGGUAUGAUUUUAUACUCUUCGAUUAUUCUCCCGAGGAAUAUAUUUCACUUGGAAAAGACAAGCCGACUGCUUUGAUAUGCAAAAAUUGAAGUGGAAAUAUGCGAACUACAACUACAGACGAUCGUAACUCGAUCGCAACUAUUUGCGAAUGCAGCAUUCCUUUUUUUAUAUCAAAAUAAAUUCUUAUUUGAAGAAAAAACGCAACGAAACAUUAGAUUAUGCUUGAUAAAGUUGAAAACUACUAUAUUAUCUGUAUAUAAUAGUCAUUAGUUUGUCAUUUAUUAUAUAGAAAUAAAAAAAGAGUAUUAAUUUUAACAAAAAUAUAUACUUUAAACGAUACUACAUAAUCCUAAAUAUUUUCCUAAUACAGAGCUUCUUCCUAUUUAAGAAAUAUACUCGAUGCUUGAAUCUACUGCACAAACUUAAAAAAUAAAGGAGAAAUAACAUAUUGUCAAUAGAAAAUACAAGCAAGUAUUACGUCUUCGUAAUAAAAUUACUGAUAAAACUUUUAUAUGCAUAUACGUUUAAAUAGAAAAAAAAAUGCCUUUGUUACUUUUCCUCUAUAACACUGUCAAAUAACUGUUAUAUUUCAUCAUACUAUUGUAUAAUAUAUAUAAUACACUAUAAAAUUGGAAAA